RNAcentral lists this transfer RNA (77 nucleotides) under Buchnera aphidicola. RNAcentral describes it as "tRNA-Met". It matches the Rfam family "tRNA". From Rfam's summary of the family: Transfer RNA (tRNA) molecules are approximately 80 nucleotides in length. Their secondary structure includes four short double-helical elements and three loops (D, anti-codon, and T loops). Lineage: Bacteria; Pseudomonadati; Pseudomonadota; Gammaproteobacteria; Enterobacterales; Erwiniaceae. RNAcentral also lists the same sequence under 30 other names. The record is from RNAcentral.
CGCGGGGUAGAGCAGUUUGGUAGCUCGUCGGGCUCAUAAUCCGAAGGUCAUAGGUUCGAAUCCUAUCCCCGCAACCA